AUGAAACAUUGGGACAAGAACUCCAUAAUUUGUAAGAUAAACAUCAUAAACCCAGAUUAUAUAAUCAAAUCAGGCCCAAUAGAAGCUACACCAAAAGAUAUAGAGGAAUUUAAGAUGCAUAUUGAAGAAUUGUUAAAAUUAAGAGCAAUCAGAGAGAGCAAAAGUCCUCACCAUUCAGCUGCAUUUAUGCUUAGAAAUCAUGCUGAAGAAGCUAGGGGUAAGUCUAGGAUGAAUGCACCUGCAUUAUUUCAAAGAAAAAUGCAGAACAUAUUCAAUGAGAAUCAAGCAUUCAUAUUGGUAUAUGUAGAUGAUUUGCUGGUCUUCUCAAAAUCAUAUAAAGAGCAUAUAGCUCAUCUUGAAGUCUUCUUUAGAAAGGUAGAACAAAAUGGACUCAUACUAUCUAAAAAGAAAAUGGAAAUUUGUAGAGAGAAAAUAAAUUUCCUUGGUCAUGAAAUAGGAGAAGGAAAAAUAUAUUUACAAGAACAUAUUGCAAAGAAAAUUUUGCAAUUCCCUGAUAACAUGAGUGAUAAAAAGAUAUUGCAACAAUUCUUAGGAAUUGUAAAUUAUGCAAGGAAUUAUAUAGAUAACCUAGCAAAGCUUGCUGGACCUUUAUAUGCUAAAUUAAGAAAGAAUGGUCAAAGAUAUUUUAACUCAGAAGAUAUAAAACUAGUAAGGACCAUUAAAGACAAGGUCAAUAAUUUGAAACCUUUAGAAUUACCAUUAGAAGACUAUUACUUUAUAAUUGAAACCGAUGCCUCUAAAGUAGGUUGGGGAGCUAUAUUAAAGCAAAAACCCAACAAAUAUUCUCCCAAAACUGGGGAGAAAAAUAUGUAG
RNAcentral lists this ribosomal RNA (834 nucleotides) under Triticum aestivum (bread wheat). Its description in RNAcentral is "partial small subunit ribosomal RNA". The record is from RNAcentral. Lineage: Eukaryota; Viridiplantae; Streptophyta; Magnoliopsida; Poales; Poaceae.